UGGAACAUGGAACCCCCCCCGCCGCCGGUCCAUGGAAAAAAAAAAGGAAUCAAACCGGUCCAUGGUACAUAAAAGGUUGGGGACCCCUGAGUUAGACAGUGUCCCGCCUGUUAACUAUGUUCGUGUCCCAUCUGUUAACUAUGUUCAAGUCCCAUCUGGGGUGCCAUUCUGUAACGUGACUAAUCUGAAUCUUUUAUUUUUAAAUUUAGAGAUUCAUUGUCUCUGGGGUGCCAGGCAGUAUUUGCUGCCAAUUCAAAUGUAGUCACAGUUAGAGCGAAACUAUCACACAAAUCAAACAACACAAACACGUUUUAUACGUUUCAAAUCAUAUAUUGUGAUGGUUUAAAUUAAACCAAAAAUAUUCAUACACAACUUAAAUAAUCGAUAUCCCUCCAUACAAUCAAAAAUAAAAUGCUAUUUAAAUAAAAAGGGAAAGUAUGAAAGAGUCUGAGUCACUGAAGGAAAGUGAGUUGUGGAAUAUGUUGAAUUAGUUGUAUACUGGUGGAAGGGAAACGUGAACUCGGAGAUGAGUGUGGAGUUACCAACGGGAGACUAGCCAGGGGAACUGCAGAGUAGGCCUACGACUUGAACCAGGGAUCUUCGCAACACCUCGACAAGAGAAAGGAAAACAUCUUGCCAUGCUGCUGAUCCAUUCCGUCGUGCGCAACACAAAGUAGUUUGAGCCGGUCCUAUUUUGCUCAGGAUCCGCGCUGCUUCAUAGGAAUUCCUCAAAGGGAUUAAUCCACAAGGGUACGAUCCAGAGGAAUCCAAUGUAACUAUCCAGUGUGAAAUCUCUCUUUAAAAUGCUCCCGCCAUGUCUCACAUGCCCUCGGUAACAACUCUCUCCGAUAGAGCUUCCUGGUAAUUAGCGCUCUCUCCCCGCAGGUUAGGCCAAGCAGCCUUUUAUCGUCAGCUGACUGCGUGACGUUAACAACCCCAAUUGCGUUUAAGCAACCCGGUGGGAUAAGCCUAAAGUAAUAUAUACAUUUUUAUUAUAAAGAAUAUGGAGCGGUCCAUAUACAUAAAUUGUUAUGCUGGUUUGUUUUGUGCUUUGGCAACACUGCAGUCAUGCCAAUAAAGCAACCGUGAGUUGCACUGAAUUGACUGACAGGAAGUGAGUGGAAGAGAGAGAGACGGGUAGACUGUUCACCUGGGAGAGACAGGUGGACUGAUGAGACGGGAGGACUGUGGGCACCUGGGGCAGUUGGGAGGACUGUGGGCACCUGGGAGAGACAGGUGGACUGAUGAGACGGGUGCACUGUGGGCACCUGGGAGAGACCGGUGGACAGCGGGCAUCUGGAGCCAAAGGUGGUAUCUGCGCUGUGGCCCUGUCGUUUAGUGAAACUACUGUACAGUACAUAAGAUUCUGUAUUUUGUCUUGAGGAACAGUUGGAGUUGUUACUCUUUUUUUAAAGGUGCCAUGUGUAAUGUCUGCCAAAAAAUCAAUUCAUACUCCACAUUCCAUAAAAGAUGGGGCAGUAUACCUCCAGAAAGUGAG
Long non-coding RNA from Alosa sapidissima (American shad), 1498 nucleotides. RefSeq lists it as uncharacterized. Lineage: Eukaryota; Metazoa; Chordata; Actinopteri; Clupeiformes; Clupeidae. The record is from RefSeq and is a predicted model, not a curated record. The transcript has 3 exons.